UUGAACAAUAUCCUCCACCACAGUUGCUAAUCUGAUAUCCCGAGCUUGUUUGGAUUGAAUAAGGUUGAGCAGCUGCUGAUUCUGCACUUGGAAUUGGACCACUCUGUGUUGCAUUUCAGCAACUUUACACGUUGCCAAUUUUAGAGCUAAUGCUUCAUCCAGCAAGAAAGAUCCUGAACUGGUUUCACGCAUUGCCCCUCAGCUGGGACAGCUCCUCCGGUCCUUUUCCCUAACUCCAAAACGGAAAAAAAAAGGAAAUUUCCAUUCUGGGCUUGGAAAAUUGCUAGUCUUUGAAGCUGUUCAUCAUCUGGUUUGUGGAGUUCCAAGAAAAUGAGAAUCUAAAUUAAGCUGUGGAUGCUGAAGACUGGUUUUAGCAUGCCUGGAUGCAAAGGUAUAAAAUCGAAGGAUUGCUUUAGCUGUCAUUGUUUUGGUGUAGAAGGCAGGGUGGGAACACAUAAGUUCAAAGGCUUGAGAAAGUGCUGAACCUAGCUGCCUCGGAAAUGAGCGCUUGGCAAAACCACCAUCACAGUGAAGCAUUGGUGUUUUGUUGCAGAUGUCUUCUCUUAGAAUAUGGAGACAAGUAUUACAUGUAUAAAAUCUAGCAUGAACUUUUCACCAUCUGUCUGUACAGUAUCCCUCUUCCACAUGUAGCAUUCACUCUCUGUAAAUAAUACUACUGUUACCUAUUAAGAAAACUCGGAAUCUGGUAAUUGAGCACUCGAGCGAUAGGUCACUUGUGGAAAUUGAAGUUUAAUCAAGAUGUGCAUGUAGAUCAAAUCUUGAAAAAUGUACUUUUCUUUCCCAUUAAGAGUUGUCUCUUAGGUUUCCUC
Coffea arabica (coffee) is the source of this 830-nucleotide long non-coding RNA. RefSeq lists it as uncharacterized. Lineage: Eukaryota; Viridiplantae; Streptophyta; Magnoliopsida; Gentianales; Rubiaceae. The record is from RefSeq and is a predicted model, not a curated record.